UUAGAUCAGAAGCGAGAAUGUUGACAUGAGUAGCGACAAAGAGGGUGAGAGACCCUCUCGCCGAAAGUCCAAGGGUUCCUGCUUAAAGCUAAUCUGAGCAGGGUGAGCCGGCCCCUAAGGCGAGGCCGAAAGGCGUAGUCGAUGGGAACUAGGUUAAUAUUCCUAGGCCAGUGGGAAGUGACGGAUCUCGAAGGUUGUCUGCCCUUAUCGGAUUGGGUGGGCCGCUUAGAGGUUCCUGGAAAUAGCCCCACAUCAGACCGUACCCUAAACCGACACAGGUGGACUGGUAGAGUAUACCAAGGCGCUUGAGAGAACCACGUUAAAGGAACUCGGCAAAAUGCCUCCGUAAGUUCGCGAGAAGGAGGCCCCAUCAGUAGGCAACUAUUGGUGGGGGGCACAAACUAGGGGGUGGCGACUGUUUACUUAAAACACAGGGCUGUGCGAAGCCGUAAGGCGACGUAUACAGUCUGACGCCUGCCCGGUGCUGGAAGAUUAAGAGGAGGGGUGCAAGCUCUGAAUUGAAGUCCCAGUAAACGGCGGCCGUAACAAUAACGGUCCUAAGGUAGCGAAAUUCCUUGUCGGGUAAGUUCCGACCUGCACGAAUGGCGUAACGAUCUCCCCGCUGUCUCUAACGUGGACUCAGCGAAAUUGAACUGUGUGUCAAGAUGCACACUUCCCGCGGUUAGACGGAAAGACCCCAUGCACCUUUACUCUAGCUUUGCACUGGCAUCAGGAUUGUGAUGUGCAGGAUAGGUGGUAGGCAUUGAAGCGGGGACGCCAGUCUUCGUGGAGCCUCCCUUGAGAUACCACCCUUCGCACUCUUGAUGUCUAACCGCGGCCCGUUAUCCGGGUCCGGGACCCUGCAUGGUGGGGAGUUUGACUGGGGCGGUCGCCUCCUAAACAGUAACGGAGGCGCGCGAUGGUUGGCUCAGACCGGUCGGAAAUCGGUCGUUGAGUGCAAUGGCAGAAGCCAGCCUGACUGCAAGUCUGACAAGACGAGCAGAGACGAAAGUCGGUCAUAGUGAUCCGGUGGUCCCAAGUUGGAGGGCCAUCGCUCAACGGAUAAAAGGUACGCUGGGGAUAACAGGCUGAUGAUGCCCAAGAGUCCAUAUCGACGGCAUCGUUUGGCACCUCGAUGUCGGCUCAUCUCAUCCUGGGGCUGGAGCAGGUCCCAAGGGUAUGGCUGUUCGCCAUUUAAAGAGGUACGUGAACUGGGUUUAGAACGUCGUGAGACAGUUCGGUCCCUAUCUGCCGUGGGUGUAGGAGACUUGAGAAGAGUUGCCCCUAGUACGAGAGGACCGGGGUGAACGAACCACUGGUGGACCUGAUAUCGUGCCAACGGUAGUGCUGGGUAGCUAUGUUCGGACAGGAUAAACGCUGAAGGCAUCUAAGCGUGAAGCCCCCUUCAAAACAUGUCUCCCUUGAGAGCCGUGGAAGACCACCACGUCGAUAGGCCGGAGGUGUAAGUGCAGCAAUGCAUUCAGCUGACCGGUACUAAUUGCUCGAA
RNAcentral lists this ribosomal RNA (1507 nucleotides) under metagenome. Its description in RNAcentral is "bacterial LSU rRNA". It matches the Rfam family "Bacterial large subunit ribosomal RNA", at positions 1277 to 2913 of the family's 2925-position model. The record is from RNAcentral.